GGAAGCCCUAGAAGGAGGUGUGGAUGGUAAUGGGAGCCGCUGGCUCGAAGCUGGAGAAAGCCCUAGGGGAGCAGUUCCCCGAGGGCGAGCGCUACUUCGGACUCGAGAAUUUCGGCAACACCUGCUACUGCAACAGCGUUCUCCAGGCACUUUACUUUUGUGUUCCUUUUCGAGAGAAGUUACUGGAAUAUUAUGGAAAUAAUAAGAACUUGAGUGAAGAUGAGAACCUCUUGAC
Molecule: unclassified non-coding RNA, 235 nt
Filed under: Hevea brasiliensis (rubber tree)
Lineage: Eukaryota; Viridiplantae; Streptophyta; Magnoliopsida; Malpighiales; Euphorbiaceae
Source: RNAcentral